RNAcentral lists this ribosomal RNA (496 nucleotides) under uncultured bacterium. RNAcentral describes it as "partial 16S ribosomal RNA". It matches the Rfam family "Bacterial small subunit ribosomal RNA", at positions 29 to 523 of the family's 1533-position model. The record is from RNAcentral.
AUUGAACGCUGGCGGCAUGCCUUACACAUGCAAGUCGAACGGUAGAGGGGCAACCCUCGAGAGUGGCGAACGGGUGAGUAAUGCAUCGGAACGUGCCCAGUAGUGGGGGAUAGCCCGGCGAAAGCCGGAUUAAUACCGCAUACGACCUCAGGGUGAAAGCGGGGGACUCGCAAGAGCCUCGCGCUAUUGGAGCGGCCGAUGUCAGAUUAGGUAGUUGGUGGGGUAAAGGCCCACCAAGCCGACGAUCUGUAGCUGGUCUGAGAGGACGACCAGCCACACUGGGACUGAGACACGGCCCAGACUCCUACGGGAGGCAGCAGUGGGGAAUUUUGGACAAUGGGCGAAAGCCUGAUCCAGCCAUGCUGCGUGCGGGAAGAUGGCCUUCGGGUUGUAAACCGCUUUUGUCAGGGAAGAAAUCUUCUGGGUUAAUACCUCGGGAGGAUGACGGUACCUGAAGAAUAAGCACCGGCUAACUACGUGCCAGCAGCCGCAGUAA